GAGGGUUUACGACGGCAGUGAUUAGAGUUUGAUCAUGGCUCAGGAUGAACGCUAGCUACAGGCUUAACACAUGCAAGUCGAGGGGCAUCAGUAAGGGAGCUUGCUUCCUUAGCUGGCGACCGGCGAAUGGGUGAGUAACGCGUAUCCAACCUGCCCCCGUCUCGGGCAUAGCCCUUAGAAAUGAGGAUUAACUCCCGCUGGUGUCGCGGGAUCGCAUGAGACUGCGACUAAAGUUUACGGACGGGGAUGGGGAUGCGUCCCAUUAGUUAGUUGGCGGGGUAACGGCCCACCAAGACGUCGAUGGGUAGGGGUUCUGAGAGGAAGGUCCCCCACAUUGGUACUGAGACACGGACCAAACUCCUACGGGAGGCAGCAGUGAGGAAUAUUGGUCAAUGGGCGUAAGCCUGAACCAGCCAAGUAGCGUGAAGGAUGACGGCCCUACGGGUUGUAAACUUCUUUUGUCGGGGAAUAAACCGUCCCACGUGUGGGGCGCUGCAUGUACUCGGUGAAUAAGGACCGGCUAAUUCCGUGCCAGCAGCCGCGGUAAUACGGAAGGUCCGAGCGUUAUCCGGAUUUAUUGGGUUUAAAGGGAGCGUAGGCGGAUGCGUAAGUCAGUCGUGAAAUCAUGGGGCUCAACUCCAUUUAGCGGUUGAAACUGUGUGUCUUGAGUGCGCAAGAGGCAGGUGGAAUUCGUGGUGUAGCGGUGAAAUGCUUAGAUAUCACGAAGAACUCCGAUUGCGAAGGCAGCCUGCUGGGGCGCUACUGACGCUGAUGCUCGAAGGUGCGGGUAUCAAACAGGAUUAGAUACCCUGGUAGUCCGCACGGUAAACGAUGGAUGCUCGCGAUGUGGUUUCUAUGAUUGCGUCGCUUAGCGAAAGCGUUAAGCAUCCCACCUGGGGAGUACGCCCGGCAACGGUGAAACUCAAGGAAUUGACGGGGGCCCGCACAAGCGGAGGAACAUGUGGUUUAAUUCGAUGAUACGCGAGGAACCUUACCCGGGCUUGAAAUGUGACAGACGGAGGCAGAGACGCCUCCUUUCCUUCGGGCUGUCAUGUAGUGCUGCAUGGUUGUCGUCAGCUCGUGCGUGAGUGUCGCUUAGUGCAUACGAGCGCAUCCUCAUCGCUGUACAUCGUUAAGCGGACUCCAGCGACACUGCCAUGCAGAUGUGAGUAAGGCCAGGAUGAACGUUCAAUCAGCACGUCCCUUUACGUCUCGGGGCUUAUACAACG
Molecule: ribosomal RNA, 1229 nt
Filed under: uncultured bacterium
Lineage: Bacteria
Description: bacterial SSU rRNA
Rfam family: Bacterial small subunit ribosomal RNA
Source: RNAcentral